AUUGAACGCUGGCGGCAGGCUUAACACAUGCAAGUCGAGCGGGGGAAGGUAGCUUGCUACCGGACCUAGCGGCGGACGGGUGAGUAAUGCUUAGGAAUCUGCCUAUUAGUGGGGGACAACAUCUCGAAAGGGAUGCUAAUACCGCAUACGUCCUACGGGAGAAAGCAGGGGAUCUUCGGACCUUGCGCUAAUAGAUGAGCCUAAGUCGGAUUAGCUAGUUGGUGGGGUAAAGGCAUACCAAGGCGACGAUCUGUAGCGGGUCUGAGAGGAUGAUCCGCCACACUGGGACUGAGACACGGCCCAGACUCCUACGGGAGGCAGCAGUGGGGAAUAUUGGACAAUGGGGGGAACCCUGAUCCAGCCAUGCCGCGUGUGUGAAGAAGGCCUUAUGGUUGUAAAGCACUUUAAGCGAGGAGGAGGCUACACUAGUUAAUACCUAGGGAUAGUGGACGUUACUCGCAGAAUAAGCACCGGCUAACUCUGUGCCAGCAGCCGCCGUAA
This 501-nucleotide ribosomal RNA is filed under the name uncultured bacterium. RNAcentral's name for it is "partial 16S ribosomal RNA". It matches the Rfam family "Bacterial small subunit ribosomal RNA", at positions 30 to 523 of the family's 1533-position model. The record is from RNAcentral.